CCUACGGGUGGCAGCAGUGAGGAAUAUUGGUCAAUGGACGAGAGUCUGAACCAGCCAAGUAGCGUGAAGGAUGACUGCCCUAUGGGUUGUAAACUUCUUUUAUAUGGGAAUAAAAUGUUCCACGUGUGGGAUUUUGUAUGUACCAUAUGAAUAAGGAUCGGCUAACUCCGUGCCAGCAGCCGCGGUAAUACGGAGGAUCCGAGCGUUAUCCGGAUUUAUUGGGUUUAAAGGGAGCGUAGGUGGAUUGUUAAGUCAGUUGUGAAAGUUUGCGGCUCAACCGUAAAAUUGCAGUUGAAACUGGCAGUCUUGAGUACAGUAGAGGUGGGCGGAAUUCGGGGUGUAGCGGUGAAAUGCUUAGAUAUCACGAAGAACUCCGGUUGCGAAGGCAGAUCACUGGACUGCAACUGACACUGAGGCUCGAAAGUGUGGGUAGCAAACAGGAUUAGAUACCCUUGUAGUC
This 460-nucleotide ribosomal RNA is filed under the name uncultured bacterium. RNAcentral describes it as "partial 16S ribosomal RNA". It matches the Rfam family "Bacterial small subunit ribosomal RNA", at positions 338 to 795 of the family's 1533-position model. The record is from RNAcentral.